Molecule: ribosomal RNA, 352 nt
Filed under: uncultured bacterium
Lineage: Bacteria
Description: bacterial SSU rRNA
Rfam family: Bacterial small subunit ribosomal RNA
Source: RNAcentral
ACGCUAAUACCGCAUACGUCCUACGGGAGAAAGCGGGGGAUCUUCGGACCUCGCGCCAUUAGAUGAGCCUAGGUCGGAUUAGCUAGUUGGUGAGGUAAUGGCUCACCAAGGCGACGAUCCGUAACUGGUCUGAGAGGAUGAUCAGUCACACUGGAACUGAGACACGGUCCAGACUCCUACGGGAGGCAGCAGUGGGGAAUAUUGGACAAUGGGCGAAAGCCUGAUCCAGCCAUGCCGCGUGUGUGAAGAAGGUCUUCGGAUUGUAAAGCACUUUAAGUUGGGAGGAAGGGUAGUAACCUAAUACGUUGCUACUUUGACGUUACCGACAGAAUAAGCACCGGCUAACUUCGUG